UCUUCGGAUUGAAGCCUUGGUGACUGAGCGGCGGACGGGUGAGUAACGCGUGGGUAACCUGCCUCAUACAGGGGGAUAACAGUUGGAAACGGCUGCUAAUACCGCAUAAGCGCACAGUACCGCAUGGUACGGUGUGAAAAACUCCGGUGGUAUGAGAUGGACCCGCGUCUGAUUAGGUAGUUGGUGGGGUAACGGCCUACCAAGCCGACGAUCAGUAGCCGACCUGAGAGGGUGACCGGCCACAUUGGGACUGAGACACGGCCCAAACUCCUACGGGAGGCAGCAGUGGGGAAUAUUGCACAAUGGGGGAAACCCUGAUGCAGCGACGCCGCGUGAGCGAUGAAGUAUUUCGGUAUGUAAAGCUCUAUCAGCAGGGAAGAAAAUGACGGUACCUGACUAAGAAGCCCCGGCUAACUACGUGCCAGCAGCCGCGGUAAUACGUAGGGGGCAAGCGUUAUCCGGAUUUACUGGGUGUAAAGGGAGCGUAGACGGCAUGGCAAGCCAGAUGUGAAAGCCCGGGGCUCAACCCUGGGACUGCAUUUGGAACUGUCAGGCUAGAGUGUCGGAGAGGAAAGCGGAAUUCCUAGUGUAGCGGUGAAAUGCGUAGAUAUUAGGAGGAACACCAGUGGCGAAGGCGGCUUUCUGGACGAUGACUGACGUUG
This 662-nucleotide ribosomal RNA is filed under the name uncultured Lachnospiraceae bacterium. RNAcentral describes it as "bacterial SSU rRNA". It matches the Rfam family "Bacterial small subunit ribosomal RNA", at positions 77 to 748 of the family's 1533-position model. Lineage: Bacteria; Bacillati; Bacillota; Clostridia; Lachnospirales; Lachnospiraceae. The record is from RNAcentral.